AAGAAGGCCUUCGGGUUGUAAAGCACUUUUGUCCGGAACGAAACGUCAGGGGCGAAUAUCCCCUGGUAAUGACGGUACCGGAAGAAUAAGCACCGGCUAACUACGUGC
RNAcentral lists this ribosomal RNA (108 nucleotides) under uncultured bacterium. RNAcentral's name for it is "partial 16S ribosomal RNA". The record is from RNAcentral.